This 240-nucleotide long non-coding RNA is filed under the name Panax ginseng (ginseng). RNAcentral's name for it is "long non-coding RNA (PGIN_LNC012819)". Lineage: Eukaryota; Viridiplantae; Streptophyta; Magnoliopsida; Apiales; Araliaceae. The record is from RNAcentral.
UGUUCAAAGCAAAAGACCAUUUGAGAUCAACAUCAAUCUCUUCUUCAAACCAUGAAUGAAUAUCGUCAUUCAAGGGUCUCCCAUUGACAACUAAUCCAUCAUCAACAGACUGUGCAUUAACUUUAGAUGACAAACCAUUUGAAUAUUGGAAGAACUCAACAGCUUCACCCAUGAUAUAUAUAUAUAUAUAUAUAUAUAUCUAUAUAUAUAUAUGUAUGUAUAUCUCAAUGUAAACUUAAG